UGGGGAAUAUUGCACAAUGGGCGCAAGCCUGAUGCAGCGACGCCGCGUGCGGGAUGGAGGCCUUCGGGUUGUAAACCGCUUUUGUUUGGGAGCAAGCCCUUCGGGGUGAGUGUACCUUUCGAAUAAGCACCGGCUAACUACGUGCCAGCAGCCGCGGUAAUACGUAGGUG
Molecule: ribosomal RNA, 170 nt
Filed under: uncultured Bifidobacterium sp.
Lineage: Bacteria; Bacillati; Actinomycetota; Actinomycetes; Bifidobacteriales; Bifidobacteriaceae
Description: partial 16S ribosomal RNA
Rfam family: Bacterial small subunit ribosomal RNA
Source: RNAcentral